RNAcentral lists this long non-coding RNA (1679 nucleotides) under Paramuricea clavata. The record is from RNAcentral. Lineage: Eukaryota; Metazoa; Cnidaria; Anthozoa; Malacalcyonacea; Plexauridae.
UCUGUUCGUCUUCUGGUUCAUCGUCAUCGGCUGCCUCACUUUCUUCGUCGCUUUCGUCCUCUGCAAAGCGUGUAAAUACUAAAUUAAAACAAUAGGUGCCGUAAUAUUUGCUGUCUUUCCAAGGCCUUCCAAGAGCUUCAACAUUUGCCAACGUUGUUGCUUGACAAACUGGGCAAUCGCUGAUGUUGGACAGGAUGCAUUCGAUGUGGAAUGAAUGUCCACAACCACGGAAAACGUUCCAAGUGGAUUAACCUUUUUGCAGGCAGGUGAAUUGCAUUUUCUAUGAUGGAAAUUUUAAAGUAAGAUUUAUAUUUUAUACAGAUCUUUAUAGUCAGUUUGUCCUUGGAAAUUGUUCCAAAAUAUGAGUGUGUAGCAAAGUUAAAAUAGUACUCAUAAUCUCCAGAAAAUGUUUGAAUCACAGCAGUCCUGAGACAUCGGAACUGGCAGCUGUUCAUCUGAUGAUUCUGAUCAAUGGCACCCCAUAUCUAUUUAGUGUACAAUACCAGUCAAUGUAAAUUACCACCUCCCCCAACCCAGGAGUUGGUAGUUUUUACUUUUCAGCACUGCAUAAUCAAAAGUGUUGGAUUGUAUGAAUAUCUGGUUUUGUCUCAGUGACAUGAACCCCACACUUCCUAGAUUCGAGCAGGCAGGGACUUAUAUUGAUUGGUACUUAGUUCAAUUGCAGCAAUUGGUCUGCCUGUGUGUUAUUUUUAAGUGUACCCUGGUUCUAGAGGCUCUUUGCAAGGUGAAAGAAACAAGAGGCAAGAACGGAGAGCCUCUGGUCACAUCGAUUGCAAAUCCUACUUCCAAACUUGACUAGGUUCAGAAUUUGGACCUUGGAUGUGAUUGGCCAUUUGUAAACAACCUGUUUAAGAAAAACCUGUUUGGGAAAUAAACACUACUGUGAGCUAAUUAUAGCCUGUAUUAAAAUAUUCUAUUAAACUCAACCAAGCAUGAAUAUUAAUACUCCUACAGGUGAAAAAGGUAUCGAAUUUCUCAGGAGAUAAAUAUAUUAAUCAGUUUUGCAGGACAUGUUAGUAAUACAUGCCCAAGCAUGUAUUGACUUUAAUAGAAUAUUUUAAUACAGGCUAUAAUUAGCUUACAGCAAUGUUUAUUUCCCAAACCGGUUUGACAUAUUUUUACAAAUGGCCAAUCACAUGCGAGAUUCAAAUUCUGAACCUAAUCAAGUGUGGAAGUGGGAUUUGCAAUCGAUGUCACCCUGGGCCUUACACAGCGGAGGAGAGGGGGCGGCAGGGGGCAACUGCCCCCCUAAAGAAAACUGUAUUUACAAUUUUUAGAUUGUCAUUGUUAAUUAUUCUUUGCAUAUUUGGGACUUUUUUCAACAUAUAAGCCUUACUGCCCCCUUGGUGAUACGGCCCUGAUGUGACCAGAGGCUCUCCGUUCUCACAUCUUGUUUCUUUCACCUUGCAAAGAGCCUCUGGAACCAGGGUACUCUUAAAGUAACACACAGACAAAGCAAAUAAUAUAAUGCUUUUAAAAAUCUUCAAUUUCAAAAGAGGCAGUAAAUUGGUAGGGAAAUCUUUCAAUAAUAUCCUGUGGUUAUGGUAAACUAUGUACCAGUACCAGACAAUAUAAAUCCCUGCCUGCUCAAAUCUAGGAAGUGUGGGGGCCAUUGGGCAAAGCAGGGUCACUGAAGGCCUGUUUAUAUGAUCCUGCCU